Molecule: small nuclear RNA, 103 nt
Organism: Mangifera indica (mango)
Lineage: Eukaryota; Viridiplantae; Streptophyta; Magnoliopsida; Sapindales; Anacardiaceae
Source: RefSeq, a predicted model, not a curated record
GUCUCUUUGAAAACAUCCGAUAAAAUUGGAAUGAUAUAGAGAAGGUUAGCAUAGCCCCUGCAUAAGGAUGACACGUACAAAUUGAGAAAUAGUCCAAAUUUUU